CUGUGUCAACGCUGAUCGUGCCAAUCAGUAGCCGUUCACGAGGCGUUUUGACGUCGGCACAUUGUUGGUGUUGGCUUAGAAAAACCUUUCUUGUACUCAAGUGACUGUUUGUGAAUCGUGUUCAAGUCAAAUUUUGUGUUGGAAAUUUUAUAAGUUAGUGAAUUUUAUAAAUUACGAAAAAUAUGGAGGAAAUUUUAUCUGCAAAUCAAUUGAAUCCGCAAGGCGUAUUUAAGAGACGCCACCGCCGUUAAGCCGCCGCCAAGCAAGCCUACAAUGGAUUUGCCAGAACAACAACAACAACAAAACCCACAUACACACGACUAGUAAUGUGUGUGAGCUGCGCUCAUAUCUGCCGUGGUAGCAGCGCUUUAGAAAAAAUGCCGAAUUCCAGAAGCGACUACUAAACAAUCAAUUGGAUUACAAAAAUAGUACGCUUAGGCGACGAUAUUAUCAGUAUUGCGAGCAAGCACUGCAGCUGGACGCUGGACGUAGGGAAAUGUGUGGCCAAGCAAGCAUAAGAAGAAGAAGAAGCGGAGGAACAGUGGGCGCAGCAUGCAACUAAGUAGACGAUGAGGUUGACUAUUGAAAUUAAGAGGGCAUAAGUUGAGCUGAACCACCGCGACGGGUGACACACACACACACACACUCGCGCGCAUAUGUUGCUAUGUGUGCACGCGCGCGCGUUACCUUUGAAGCGCGACGCAUAACAAAGCGCAAGGUAAGGAGAUGAGCAGUCAACGCGCAACGCGUUGUGCUACCGCGUGCGCGCACCCGUCCGCCGCCUAUGCCGCUGUAUAUACACAAACGUAACGAAGUAACGAAAUAUUUCUGUGGUACGCGCCCGCAAAACUGCACAAAGGUGAAUACAAUGCGGAAUGCUUUCUAAGAUUCUUGUCGUGGCUGAGUAAAUGCAUUUCGAAUAUUCGUUGUUGGCGGCAUUGGCGCAAUAAGCAACAAUUGCGCAGCGCUGACUGGCUAACUGCCGCGCUGGCAGGCAGAUGAGUCAACAGUAUCAACAGCAGCAACAACAACAACAACAGCAACAACAAUAGCAUAAAGGCACGUAGCUGCCGUAGUGGUCGAAAAAUCAUACGCCUAGUCAAAGGAUAAUGCUUUUCGGUGGCGAUGGUGGCGGCGGCCAGCAAACGCGUGCCGUUGUUUUUCAAAUGCUUUGGAUGCUGCCGCCAACGCCGCCGCCGUCAUCGCGUUCGCUAACUGCCACGCAAUUAAAUUUACGAAUGCUGCCAAUGUAAAAGCGCACGUGGUCACCAAAUAGUCGAGAGGCCUUAUGCACUAAAAACGUACGAAAUUAACGAAAAAGCAAUGAAAUGCCACAGGGCGCGGGGGCGCGUCGGCGCUUGAUACGCAAUGCAAGUCGCGCUGCUGCUGCUGCUUAUAUGAAAAGGGCGCGCAUGUGAAGGCGGUCAGCUGAAGGUUGGUUGUAGGGCGUGUGCAGGAAGUUUAGCCGCGCAAUGCAUAGACAUACAAACGCGCAUAUAUUUAUUGAAUGUGUGUAUGUGUGGGUGUGCGCAACGUCAUGCGAAUUAGCUGCAGCUGCGCGGUGUAAGUUCAAUGCUUCCGCGCAUAGAUAAAACAAAUGGCGGUUGACUUCAAAUUGCAGCGGCAUAUACUACACUACUACUACACUCUCGCACACACACUACUAUAUACUAUACACAUGCACAUAUCUAUGAGUUUAUGGAAAACGUUUAUGGCGGCUGCGCGCAAACUUUCAA
Bactrocera neohumeralis is the source of this 1736-nucleotide long non-coding RNA. RefSeq lists it as uncharacterized. The record is from RefSeq and is a predicted model, not a curated record. The transcript has 2 exons. Lineage: Eukaryota; Metazoa; Arthropoda; Insecta; Diptera; Tephritidae.